Long non-coding RNA from Limulus polyphemus (Atlantic horseshoe crab), 501 nucleotides. RefSeq lists it as uncharacterized. The transcript has 3 exons. The record is from RefSeq and is a predicted model, not a curated record. Lineage: Eukaryota; Metazoa; Arthropoda; Merostomata; Xiphosura; Limulidae.
GCGUGUUUACUUUAGGUGCGCUACCUGCCAGAACAACGGCCCACUCAGUCAGAACAGUCUUUCAAGGAUAGGUCUGAUCGUUCCAACCAACUUUUUCCAUCUUCUUGCCAUUUCGUUUCAGUAAUCCAGCAUCAAGUUGAAUUUGGUAUCUGUUUAUUUACAUAUAACCUUGUUAAUCAUUCGUCAUUAUUUUCCGUGAAGUGACAAAAUUAUCAUAGAAGUCUGAUUAACAGACUACGUAAUUUGUGCUAUUAUGCUGUGUUCUAUCGUUUGCUGUCCAUUGCAGAAUGGGAGUAGGCAGAAAACUUGUCUUUUUAUGACAGGUAAAUCAUGUUGCAAGAGAAGUAACCGAAUGGGAUCUGUAAGGGUAUACGACGCCUAGUGAGCAAAGAGAAAAAUAAAGGUCGAGGCUGUUCGUGAUGAGACGUAGGAGUGAGACACGACAGCCUAGUAAUACCUUCAAAGAUAACGGGGUUUGAAGAAAGAUCUUUUAUUUUAUGU